This 859-nucleotide small RNA is filed under the name Pongo abelii (Sumatran orangutan). RNAcentral's name for it is "processed transcript". The record is from RNAcentral. Lineage: Eukaryota; Metazoa; Chordata; Mammalia; Primates; Hominidae.
GGCUCUCCUUCGGAAAGAUGUCGGACACGGCAGUAGCUGACACCCGGCGCCUUAACUCGAAGCCGCAGGACCUGACCGACGCUUACGGGCCGCCAAGUAACUUCCUGGAGAUCGACAUCUUUAAUCCUCAGACGGUGGGCGUGGGACGCGCGCGCUUCACCACCUAUGAGGUUCGCAUGCGGACAAACCUACCUAUCUUCAAGCUAAAGGAGUCCUGCGUACGGCGGCGCUACAGUGACUUUGAGUGGCUGAAAAAUGAGCUGGAGAGAGAUAGCAAGCUUGUUGCUUUCCAUGGCAGUAAUCCUCCUAGAGUCCAAGCAGUCUGUUGUAUGGAGCAGGGUGUGUGGGUUUUCUGGGCCCAUCAUUAUGGCUGCUUCAGAGUCAGAAGAAAGCCAUAGGGCAGUAGGGGAUCUCCUAUUGCCUAGCCCCUCUCCCUUUGUGGCUCUCACUCUAGCUGCCUAUUUUUGUUCAUCAGCUGGUGAGUCAGUAUGGGCCAGCAGUUCUCCCUCCCUAAGCCCUUGCUACUUUAUGGGUUAGCUUUGCAGGUUUGGUGGCUUGAGGGGUGGGGGCAACUUACCACUGCCAGGUAACUCCCUGAAGGGUGGGAGUGGAUUAUCUUCUAGGCUCUUCCCCACGGUAGGGAAGGGCAUCAACACUGUCUUCCUUCCGUUCUCCUUUCCCCCAUCCCAUUUAGUGCUGCCACAGGGCAGAAGCACACAAACCAACCACACAGUCUCUGACUUCUAAGCACUUUGAGCUGUUGAAUGGGGCUCAGGGGCAAGAGUUUUUGUUGCCCUCCCCGGCGUGGUCACAGGGUUAUUGAACUGCCUGCACUUGUUUCUCAUGCAACUCCAGCAUU